UAUGCAUCUUUGCUAAUGGACAUAUAUUGCACAGUUUAUAACAUUAUGACUUUCUUAUAUUUAUAUCAGCAAUCCUCUUGGAAGGUGAGGGAUGUCCAAGCUUAUAGUGCCAAAUGUCAAACUGUUCUUCUUCCUUAUUGGGUCCUGAGCUUGCUGCCCCCACAAAAAAUUGUUGACUUGAAUCCUUCAAGCCUUCAAAAUCCCUAAGCUGGUACAGCCCAUCUCUAACAUCCCCCACUCCAAGAGUCUUCCACGUCAUAAGGUCCUGAAUAAUGCAGUGUUCUUGUGAAAAAAUUAAACAGCACUUGGCAUCUUAUGCAAGCCUUCUUGCUGAUAUCAGAUUAAAAUUAAAGGAAUGAGCACACAAUACACUGGCCAGAACUAAUCUAUCAUUCAACUUAAUUGUUCCAAUAUGUGAGACCUCUACUUUCUCUCCAUUUGGUAAUACUAUCUCAGAUGCAUUGCAUGAAGUUAUCCCAGUAUACAAUUGUGAUGCAUGAAUUAUAUGAUCUGAAGCCUCUGUAUCUAUUAUCCAAGGAACAUGUGUGUUCUCAUCAACAUUAACUGAACUUGCACUAAAACAUAAAUGCUUACCAGUGAAGCCUUCUAGUUCUGGAUUCCGUGAUGACUAACAAGUGGAACGAACCAUGCUAACAGUGGGCCUGUUUUGCUACAUCAGAGACAUCAGCUGAUCAUAUUGCUCCUUUAUCAAUAAGUGGUGCUCAUCAUUUCUGGUUUAAUCCAUUGGUUCGGUGGUGGACACCUGAUUAACAUGUGUCUGCUUGCCCUUUCCUUGUGGCUUCUGACUUUUAGAUAACCCUUUCAACUUAUAACAAGUUUCAAUAGUGUGUCCAAGUUUAUUACAAUGGGUAUACACGGUAUGUUUGGAUUGGUCUUAUAGCAUCUCUCCAAG
Molecule: long non-coding RNA, 913 nt
Filed under: Carica papaya (papaya)
Lineage: Eukaryota; Viridiplantae; Streptophyta; Magnoliopsida; Brassicales; Caricaceae
Description: long non-coding RNA (CPAP_LNC008519)
Source: RNAcentral